CCCUGCCAGCUUGUCAAUACCAGAUCUGGUCUGAUCUCAGAUGCUAAGCAAGGCCCGGCCUGAUUAGUCCUUGAAUAGGAGACCACUGGGAAUACCAGGUGCCACGGGGG
Molecule: ribosomal RNA, 110 nt
Filed under: Periophthalmus magnuspinnatus
Lineage: Eukaryota; Metazoa; Chordata; Actinopteri; Gobiiformes; Gobiidae
Source: RNAcentral